GCAAUUGGGACAAAUAUUCAGCACAGUAGGAUAACCUGAGAGCUUACUCACAGAUACUCCUAUCCAUCUACACUGAAUUUCCCUGCUUCUAUUUCCAUUUCUGAUUUUGUGGGUAAACGAUGUUGCUACUGAUUUUCUUGCUCAUACGUUAUUAUCGUUUUCUAGCAUUAGUAAUACGUAGGUCACAGCAUUAUUUAGCACAAAGUUCUUACGGAUUUUGUUUGUUCUGUUAUUUUUGGGGGUUUUUUUAAUGCUAAAAGAAAAGAAUCAAAGUCAACUACUUUAAAGUCAUCUAAUUAAAGUCACCUACUAAUUUACUGGAAGAUCUGAUAUAUAAAAAUACAUAAUUUUUUCAUCAUCAACAAAGUCUGUUGAAUUGGGUUUUGGAAAUAGUUUUUGUGUUCUUACAUUGAUCCAUCAGCAUAAAAGACUUUCUUCCUCUUCCACACUAGUACAUUAGUAACUUAAGAAAUGCAAGUGCCAAUGUGACAUUUGGGGGAAGAUGGAGGAAAUCACAGGUAGGACUGACUUUAGGAAGAAUCUGAGCUAGUUGCUGAGAGCACUGGGACUAGCUAGCUGACCUGCUUUGACAAUGUCAAAAUUGGGCCAACGAUGGCCAAAAAAAAAGAGUAUGCUUGGAGAGAUAGCACCCAUCUUUGCUUUAUCAUCACAAACUCCUGCCAAAGUACCAUUCUCGACAUAAUCCUUAUACAAGAAACUCCUAGCAGGGUUUGUUUCCUACAAUUUUUACUCUAAAUCUGGGAUUUGUAGGCACUGUAGCAUAGUCCCAUCUUUCACCCAACUCAGUUUCAUUUCAUUGCAGUAACUCAAAGUAUAUCACACAGAAAGAUGGAAGUAGACCUCCUUUGUGUCAACCCCUAAAGAUUACCAGUGUGCCUGGAAUACCCAGCUUCUACUUAAUAACUUUUAGUUACUUACAGUAUAGAAAUGUAUCAUGUCUGCCAGAUUUUGUUGAUAGUAUUAGCCUUCAGUUUCUCCAAAAACAAGUUUUAUAUAUGAUAUCAACACUGUUUUUUGGACCUGUUUUCUCAUGUAGAAAAUAGAUAAUAAAGGCCAUGUAAAUGCAAACACCUGCAACCCUCGUCUCCCAAUUUUCUGCAGAAAUACCCAUAGAAACAUUCAAAUAAAAAAAAACAUUUGUCAUGCAUAGAAACUUAACAGUAGUGGAAACUAGAAGGAAUUUUUGCUAAAUAAAGCAGCAAGGGGUAGAUUUUUUACAAAUUGCUGACUCAAAUUUCACACUGAAGCAAUUUGUCAGUAAAGAGAGGCGAUACCUUGGCUUCCCAUCUUCUAACUCCUUGUUAAUCCGUAUGAGAAGACUAGUUAAGACAGCCACUGAGAAUCCCAUCAGAAGAGGCUGCAUUCUGCGUUGCUUCACUGGUAGCACUGAAGCUGCACCACCUUGGAGCUUUUCUUCAGCACAGUUGGCAUUCCCUUGGGCAGGGGUGUCAUAAAAGACCCCUCCUCUGACCAGAAGAGUAAUGCUGAAUGACAAAGGCAGAAUAAGCGACCCAAAAGCUCUCUUAGCUUCUACCCUUUGGCAGACUUAGAAUAUGUACAGCAGGAUUUAAAAAGAAAAUGUAAGUGUGUUUUCCAGCCUUUGUCCUAAGAACUUUUGGUUUUAUUGCAAGGAAAUUUCUUACCCUCUACUACCCUAAGCCUAGAUCUGAUGGGCCUCCUUGGGUUUCCUGGAGGAAUGAAAUGAGUCUGUUUCUGACCACCUGCUAGAUAUUACCUGAGCACUUGAGUGGACUGAAAAGAGCUAAGAGCAACCCACAGAGUCUGCCAGUUCUGCAUUGGCCUAGCUAAAUCUAACCUCACUGAGAAACGAGUAACUAGUGGACAAGAAAUUUGAACCAGCACUUCACAAAGGAGGCCAAGAAAGGAUUCAGCAUCCAUCGGUGCUUCUCAGUGUCAUCCUUGUAAGGCUGAGGAGACAAGUGGAACCAAUGCAGACAUGAAGCCCGGACUGUGUGUUGUGCUAGAUGAUAACUUCCUUCGUCUCUGGCCCAGGGUUUUUGUGUCUUCUGCCACAUCCAUGGAACUAUGGCAGGCUAACUUGUUAUCUUGCAAGUAAGGUCUGCAGGCCAGCGUGAGCAGCAUCAGGUGGCAAUGGCUGAAACUACUCUGCUUCACAUCACAGGUCUGCAGACAGGUGGGGCAGUUCUGCUCCAUAAAUAUUUAUGCUGGGGCCCAGGUUGAAGGGUAGCAGCUACCCCAGGGAAAACUCUUUUCGUAGAGGCGACAGAAAUACAAAAGGGUAAGCCCCAUUAGACAAGCACAGUUUUAGACCCUGCUUUCAUCGUAUCUACUAACAUCCCACUGACCAAUGCAAGUCCCAUGGGUGAGCCUACGUAUACUGUCUUUUGUAAAAAGAGCUUCAGUUACAACAGUAUAGGAUACGGGUACAGGGAGGGGAGAAGACUCGAGGUCGGUAAUUUAUCACAUUCUCCAUGUUUUGGUUUUUUACUUUUUAUUAUAUAAAAUUUAUUAUGAAAAAUUUCAAACAUGUAAUGUACACAGAUUUGCAUAAUGACCUUUUCCACAGUGAUGCAUGGGAUGAUGGUUGCAAGCCGAGCUUCUGCCUUCCUGCCUGCACAAGCAUGCAGCUUUCUAAGAAGUAGUCAGCGGCAGCCUUUCAAAGUGUCCUUGUGAAGGAUGGGGGUAAACGAGGAUCAGCAGUCCUCGUUUUAUGCAGUAAACUUGUCUCUGAUCUCCAUCUCAUUUAGGGCACUUUUAUUCUCUGCUCUCCGAAAGGAUAUGGACUCUCAAGUUGCUUCUACUUAUUUCAUGACCCAGGGCCCAGCGGGCCCAUGGCUCCAACUGUUACUUUCUUCAUUGUAUUUAUUUUCUGUUCCUGGCUCACCAAAAUGUUUAUCUUAUUGGACAAAGUUGUGCCAUUUUUUUUUAAGCUGUGUAUUUUUUCUUUUGUAUAUUAUGUAUCAUGGCCAUGGAUUUGGAGCAGGGGGAUACCUUGAACCUUCAACAUUCAACAGCAUUGCCACCCAAAGCCCUAGAAUCCUAAAUGAAGUUUCUCUUUAAUUUACUGUGAUGGUUUUUAAAAAAUAAAACCUGUUUACAGCGUCUCUUGGCACUUGAGCACGCCUAACUUUAGUACAUUACAAAAAAAAUAGUUUCCUGAAGGAUAAGCAUCAAUAUUCAAAUUCAGUACAUUUUAAAAAGGGAUCAGGCAAAUUAUAUAAAAGGAACGUAGAAAAUAAUUCUCUAUUCUUGCCAGUAAAUCUGACCAUUUAGAUAAACUACUUUUAUAUUAUAUUAUUAAAAUUUAUAAUUUAAUAUUAAAUAUUACUAUAUUUUAUCACAGCCUGGUUAUCCCAUUUUCAUCUCUAUGUCUUACCCAAAUUUUUAUUUCUUUUUUGACAUUUUAUUGUAUAAAAUUUAUUGUAGAAAAUUUCAAAUAUAUAGUAUACACAGAAGAGUGGAAUGACCUCAAUGUAUCCAUGAUUGUACUUCAUAAUUUAUUAAUCAUGGUAAUAAUUCCCAGGGGCUGGAAAACUAUUGGGCUGUCGGAAAAGUCAUGACUUAUUUUGUCUAUGUUUUUCAAAGGUCAUUUAUUUAUAUAAAGA
This is a long non-coding RNA of Hipposideros armiger (great roundleaf bat), 3608 nucleotides long. RefSeq lists it as uncharacterized. The transcript has 3 exons. Lineage: Eukaryota; Metazoa; Chordata; Mammalia; Chiroptera; Hipposideridae. The record is from RefSeq and is a predicted model, not a curated record.